CUUAUUUAAAGAUCCCACUGUAAUUUCCAGCCACCCACUACAAAAUCAGCCAGUGAAGCAGAAAUCAUCAAAACUAUUUGAGGAAAAUGAAAGCAGUCAAAAGAGAAUUUCCUGAUGCUCCCACCAUCAAAUCCAUCAGCAUGCCUGCAUCUGAAAUCACAUUCUUUGCUUUCCUUCCUUUGAGAGUGGCUGGUCUGUCAGUAAUUCUAGCAAAGACCACACCACAUCCUAACCUCUUACCAGAGAGCAUUUUCCUGAAAAUGACCAUUUCUGCAUUCCCCCUUAUGUUUUCCCCUAUACUGAAUCAUUCCGGUUAUCAUUUGUUUCAAAUGAAGAAUUAUAAUUCAAGUAUUUCUUUUAGUGCAAUGAGUGAGAGAUAAAGAUUACAUUUAACAUUAAGAUUGGUUCAGAACAUAAAAGUUCUUUUUGCACCGUGUUGGAAACUAUUGAAGUACUAUCUUCACAGCGUAACCCUCCGUACAUGCACUUCAUUGCUCCUCAAUUUUUCUGCCUUUCUCCAACACAAUACCUGAUACUUCCCUACUUUCUAUUCUCUUGUAUCCUUAUUUUUUCCUAAUUGAGAGAGAACAGUGAUGAUAAUUAAACAAUUGAGUGGAAACCAAUUCCUGCGAUAGUGCUAGAUGCUUAAUAGGUAACAUCUUCUGCUCGAGUUACUGAGACUUCACCUACUUUGAAGCUACUGAUCUCAAAGAAGCUUAAGGAAUAAUUAUGGAGGAGAUAAUUUUAGGUAAAUUUGAAUUUAUAAGGAAAUGUUGUCCAGGAAAAUUAUAGGGUCCAUUUUUUACCAGGCUUGAGACAUAUUUGGUACAGAGAAUAUUAGGGAGUGGUUAGUCAGAAUGGCUGCUUUGGAAAAUGAAUUUAACUGUAAGAAGUCUGUUGAGUACAUAUAACAGUGGAAUAAAAUGGUGGUGGAGGUGAAAGAUCAGUUCAUAUGAUACAUUUUGACUUCAAAUUUCUAGUCUCUGAGGAUUAAGAAGGUACCAGUGAAGAAAGGUUUGAUUUUCAAAGAGAAGCAGCCAAUGUCCCAUGACACCAUUAAUAAAAUAGAUAACACUUUAGAGUGUGCAAAGUUCAUUUAUUUUGAUUAUCUAAUUCAAAAGUGACACAACCUUAUGAGGUAGCAAUUGCUAUACUUUAAUAAGGAAUGGAAACUAAGAGAAAUUAAGUAAGAUUUACCUUGGAUUUCCAAGGUAAUCCAAUAAGUGAGUCAAACCCAGGCUAUAGGUAAAGAAAUUGGCCACUCAGUACUACAAUAUGUAUGUUCACCAUUGUAGAGUGCGGCUGUCUUUUGAAAAAUGGCCCUUAGUGAAACAUGCUGUCCAGUAUUCACUUUUUUGUAUAGUUUUUAACCAAAAUAAAUGAGGGCUUGCCCUGUGUAAAUGAUAGAAUGUGGCGUGUUUCUUUUUCUCUAGGAAUGUGUAGUCUGUAGGAAGCCAACUUUUUGAACAUGAAGUUCAAGCACUCUGAGGACUCUAAGUUUGAGGAAGCCCAAGAUAGCCAUAUGGAGAGUCCACAAAAAGAAAAAGAGCUAUAGUGUCUGCUCUUUUAGCAAUCCCACCUGAGGUGUCAGACAUGUGAAUGAAGAUACUUUCUUGGUUGUCCAGUCUAGUUGAACUUUCAGAUGACUCUAGAUUUUGCUACUAUCUGACCGACACUCCAGGAGAUAUCUCAAGGGAGAAAUAACCAGUUGAGCUCAGUCAACACAAAUUACCAUAAAUAAUUAUUUUGGUUUCCAAGUUUGGGGGUGACUUUUUGUGUAGCAUUAGAUAAACAAAACCCUGCUUAUCUCCAAAGUUGGGGAAGGGGAGAAAUAAAAGAAUCACAUAAGGUAAAUAAGGGGCAUUGUUUUGCAAACUUUGAAAAAUACUAUAUACAAUGCAUGGAUGUAGUGAAAUACAUAGAGACUCAGAAGUCAUAAGCCCUGAGUUUGAAACCUCUUGAGAUUUUCUCACUCUGUGACUCUUGGAUAAAUCACACUCAAUUUCUCCUAGUCUAAAUGUGAUUAUCAAUAAAAUUAUGUUAAUAAAGCCUUGCUCUGUUUAGAGUCUUAGGUGAGAAAAUGUGGUUUGUAAAUGAUUUUGUGAAUUUUAUAAAAUUAUACAGAUAUAUUUCGUAUUGCUAUUAUUAUAAUUAAAAAUACAGAGUCAGGAUAAUUUCAUCCUGUGCACAAGAGGCAGA
This 2199-nucleotide long non-coding RNA is filed under the name Homo sapiens (human). RNAcentral describes it as "HSALNT0197943". Lineage: Eukaryota; Metazoa; Chordata; Mammalia; Primates; Hominidae. The record is from RNAcentral.